This 111-nucleotide ribosomal RNA is filed under the name uncultured eukaryote. RNAcentral describes it as "partial small subunit ribosomal RNA". It matches the Rfam family "Eukaryotic small subunit ribosomal RNA", at positions 1676 to 1785 of the family's 1831-position model. The record is from RNAcentral.
UCGCUCCUACCGAUUGAAUGAUCCGGUGAAGUCAGUGGACUGGCGUAGGUUUCGGGUAACUGAUCCUAUUGUCCGGGAAAUUGAUUAAACCUUAUCAUUUAGAGGAAGGAG